Panicum virgatum (switchgrass) is the source of this 457-nucleotide long non-coding RNA. RefSeq lists it as uncharacterized. Lineage: Eukaryota; Viridiplantae; Streptophyta; Magnoliopsida; Poales; Poaceae. The record is from RefSeq and is a predicted model, not a curated record. The transcript has 3 exons.
AUGUUCUUUUUAACCUCCAUUACUUACAUAGUUAAAUGUUCUCUAAUUUGUUUGUUUUUUUGCAUUACAUUGCAGGCGACUAGAGUAUUGAACAUGAAUGCAGACUGGAAGAUCAAGGAUGGAUUUGAGGAGGGGCAAGGACCUUUUGGUGACUGUCCAGUCAGCCAUGGGAGAGGAGCAGAUCUGUGAGCUGAAGGACAUUGAACCCAAGUAAAUUCUCUAGAGAAGACCAGUUUUGGAACAGAGGGACCAACUAUAUCUCAAAACUUGCACCCAAUGGGGAGCGGAAAUCAGAGAGCCCUGGCAAGGCUGUGCACGGGAAGGUGAGGUCAUCUGUUGCCUUUCUUUGUUUUGAUUUCGCAUCUUUUUGUCUUUUUGUUUUGAGUUGUAUAAUUUUCACCUGAAGCGUAUAAGCGUAUAAGUUUAUUGGUUCACCGUUUGGUGUAUCGUGAUAUGA